UAGCUUUAACUACAUUCAUGGGCUUGGCUUUUGAAGCUUUUUGCUCAUUUACCUGUGUGUAUUCAAGGAUACUCCCUUGAUUACCUAUCACUUUUCGCUUAUUUUUCCUGCUUUGGCUAUUUUCACGCAGGCUUCAUAAGUGAAGCGAGAUCAUAAGAAGAGAGGCGCUCAUUAGGGCUGUUUAUAUCUUAUACCGAAGAUGGUUUAAUCAAUAUAUACGUAUAUAAAUAAGAAUAGACAUGUUCCUUUAAAAUCCCUCUUUUCAGCAAUUAAAUAAUGUAAAAAAUUGAAAAAGUUAAGUGCCUUUUGGAUGCUUUUAACAACUAGGAAAACGUAAUCAAGUCAAACCUUUUUGUUUGUAUCACCAGGAUUAACUUCUAGCAAACUUAACAGUAAUUUUAUGGAUUUAAGUAAUCCACAAAAAAAAUAAUUGAUUUAUUGCCUAAUGAGAAUCUUUAUUUAUAAUUUCAGUUGCUUAUCUUACGUAAUAUACUAAUUUCAUAAAUGUUAACCUGUAAUUGAUAAUUCUUUAAUUUUUUAGGUCAGACGCAAUCGAUUUCUUUGAUUUCUUGAGAUUUAUCAAAGAAGUUGCUGCAUGUAAAGAUAUGUCAAUUGGUGACAUAAUUCAUAAACUAACGUCGUGUGGACUACCUGGAUUUAAAUUCGCAGCACAAUUUGUUGAUUGCGGAGCAAGGCCUACAGAACACCAUUAUCUCGUAAUGGAUAAUCCUGUAAAGUCAAAGAAAGACAGCAAAAAAAA
Agrilus planipennis (emerald ash borer) is the source of this 760-nucleotide long non-coding RNA. RefSeq lists it as uncharacterized. The record is from RefSeq and is a predicted model, not a curated record. Lineage: Eukaryota; Metazoa; Arthropoda; Insecta; Coleoptera; Buprestidae. The transcript has 2 exons.